UACGGAGGGUGCAAGCGUUAUCCGGAUUCACUGGGUUUAAAGGGUGCGUAGGUGGGCAGGUAAGUCAGUGGUGAAAUCUCCGGGCUUAACCCGGAACUGCCGUUGAUACUAUCUGUCUUGAAUAUAGUGGAGGUGAGCGGAAUAUGUCAUGUAGCGGUGAAAUGGCUUAGAUAUGACAUAGAACAUCGAUUGCGAAGGCAGCUCGCUACGCUAUUAUUGACAGUGAGGCACGAAAGCGUGGGGAUCAAACAGG
RNAcentral lists this ribosomal RNA (253 nucleotides) under uncultured bacterium. Its description in RNAcentral is "partial 16S ribosomal RNA". It matches the Rfam family "Bacterial small subunit ribosomal RNA", at positions 524 to 776 of the family's 1533-position model. The record is from RNAcentral.